AUUGUUUUGGCAGAUUAGUGCAUUAAAUUUAGAAUUUACUUAUGUAUGGGGAAUACAAGCAAUA
Molecule: transfer RNA, 64 nt
Filed under: Kirchnerius guangxii
Lineage: Eukaryota; Metazoa; Arthropoda; Insecta; Coleoptera; Lucanidae
Description: tRNA-Leu
Source: RNAcentral